Molecule: ribosomal RNA, 484 nt
Filed under: uncultured bacterium
Lineage: Bacteria
Description: partial 16S ribosomal RNA
Rfam family: Bacterial small subunit ribosomal RNA
Source: RNAcentral
AUUGAACGCUGGCGGCAGGCCUAACACAUGCAAGUCGAGCGGAUGAAGGGAGCUUGCUCCUGGAUUCAGCGGCGGACGGGCGAGUAAUGCCUAGGAAUCUGCCUGGUAGUGGGGGAUAACGUCCGGAAACGGGCGCUAAUACCGCAUACGUCCUGAGGGAGAAAGUGGGGGAUCUUCGGACCUCACGCUAUCAGAUGAGCCUAGGUCGGAUUAGCUAGUUGGUGGGGUAAAGGCCUACCAAGGCGACGAUCCGUAACUGGUCUGAGAGGAUGAUCAGUCACACUGGAACUGAGACACGGUCCAGACUCCUACGGGAGGCAGCAGUGGGGAAUAUUGGACAAUGGGCGAAAGCCUGAUCCAGCAAUGCCGCGUGUGUGAAGAAGGUCUUCGGAUUGUAAAGCACUUUAAGUUGGGAGGAAGGGCAGUAAGUUAAUACCUUGCUGUUUUGACGUUACCAACAGAAUAAGCACCGGCUAACUUCGUG